RNAcentral lists this ribosomal RNA (253 nucleotides) under uncultured bacterium. RNAcentral's name for it is "partial 16S ribosomal RNA". It matches the Rfam family "Bacterial small subunit ribosomal RNA", at positions 524 to 776 of the family's 1533-position model. The record is from RNAcentral.
UACGGGGGGUGCGAGCGUUGUCCGGAAUCACUGGGCGUAAAGGGCGCGUAGGCGGUUUGAUAAGGGUGUGGUGAAAGUCCGGGGCUCAACCCCGGAUCUGCCGUGCCGACUGUCAAACUCGAGGACUGUAGAGGCAGACGGAAUUCCGGGUGUAGCGGUGGAAUGCGUAGAGAUCCGGAGGAAGACCGGUGGCGAAGGCGGUCUGCUGGGCAGUUUCUGACACUGAGGCGCGACAGCGUGGGGAGCAAACAGG